AACGAACGCUGGCGGCAGGCCUAACACAUGCCAGUCGAACGCCCCGCAAGGGGAGUGGCAGACGGGUGAGUAACACGUGGGAACCUUCCCUAUAGUACGGAAUAGCCCAGGGAAACUUGGAGUAAUACCGUAUACGCCCGAAAGGGGAAAGAAUUUCGCUAUAGGAUGGGCCCGCGUAGGAUUAGCUAGUUGGUGAGGUAAUGGCUCACCAAGGCGACGAUCCUUAGCUGGUGUGAGAGAACGACCAGCCACACUGGGACUGAGACACGGCCCAGACUCCUACGGGAGGCAGCAGUGGGGAAUAUUGGACAAUGGGCGCAAGCCUGAUCCAGCCAUGCCGCGUGAGUGAUGAAGGCCUUAGGGUUGUAAAGCUCUUUUGGCGGGGACGAUAAUGACGGUACCCGCAGAAUAAGUCCCGGCUAACUUCGUG
RNAcentral lists this ribosomal RNA (430 nucleotides) under uncultured bacterium. RNAcentral's name for it is "partial 16S ribosomal RNA". It matches the Rfam family "Bacterial small subunit ribosomal RNA", at positions 29 to 507 of the family's 1533-position model. The record is from RNAcentral.